RNAcentral lists this ribosomal RNA (807 nucleotides) under Streptomyces endophyticus. RNAcentral describes it as "bacterial SSU rRNA". It matches the Rfam family "Bacterial small subunit ribosomal RNA", at positions 38 to 860 of the family's 1533-position model. Lineage: Bacteria; Bacillati; Actinomycetota; Actinomycetes; Kitasatosporales; Streptomycetaceae. The record is from RNAcentral.
GGCGGCGUGCUUAACACAUGCAAGUCGAACGAUGAAGCCCUUCGGGGUGGAUUAGUGGCGAACGGGUGAGUAACACGUGGGCAAUCUGCCCUUCACUCUGGGACAAGCCUUGGAAACGAGGUCUAAUACCGGAUAACACUCCCAUUCUCCUGGAUGGGGGUUAAAAGCUCCGGCGGUGAAGGAUGAGCCCGCGGCCUAUCAGCUUGUUGGUGAGGUAAUGGCUCACCAAGGCGACGACGGGUAGCCGGCCUGAGAGGGCGACCGGCCACACUGGGACUGAGACACGGCCCAGACUCCUACGGGAGGCAGCAGUGGGGAAUAUUGCACAAUGGGCGAAAGCCUGAUGCAGCGACGCCGCGUGAGGGAUGACGGCCUUCGGGUUGUAAACCUCUUUCAGCAGGGAAGAAGCGAAAGUGACGGUACCUGCAGAAGAAGCGCCGGCUAACUACGUGCCAGCAGCCGCGGUAAUACGUAGGGCGCAAGCGUUGUCCGGAAUUAUUGGGGGUAAAGAGCUCGUAGGCGGCUUGUCACGUCGAUUGUGAAAGCUCGGGGCUUAACCCCGAGUCUGCAGUCGAUACGGGCUAGCUAGAGUGUGGUAGGGGAGAUCGGAAUUCCUGGUGUAGCGGUGAAAUGCGCAGAUAUCAGGAGGAACACCGGUGGCGAAGGCGGAUCUCUGGGCCAUUACUGACGCUGAGGAGCGAAAGCGUGGGGAGCGAACAGGAUUAGAUACCCUGGUAGUCCACGCCGUAAACGGUGGGCACUAGGUGUGGGCAACAUUCCACGUUGUCCGCGCCGCAGCUAACGCAU